This 14181-nucleotide long non-coding RNA is filed under the name Podarcis lilfordi (Lilford's wall lizard). Lineage: Eukaryota; Metazoa; Chordata; Lepidosauria; Squamata; Lacertidae. The record is from RNAcentral.
UCUGGUGUCGCAGACACUAAAUCAGCAGUCAGUCAUGUUUUUCUGUGUUCUGAUCAACGCUGAAUAAACUUGUAAAUAAUGCUCUCCUGACUGCAACUUUUGGCUGUGCAUUUAUCUGCUGAUAGAGCGUGCAUGAGCUCUAGAAUGUGGCAAGAUAUUUUCUAGAAACUCAUGUCGCUGCGUGCCUACGGGAGACUGAGAUGGAUCGUCCGGCAGACGGCUUGGGGGCCUUGAUGGACUUUAUCUCCCUGGCAGUAUCCCAACAUUUCUAUGUUCUUAUGUAAGUAACUCAGCACAGAUUGCCAAUUGCUUUUCCCAAUAUGAAAUCCUUGGGACUGAGCAGUGUGCACCGACAAGGAGCAGAACCAGCCACCGUGUCCUUCUGUGUAUGUAUAUAUUGCUAUAGUUUUGGGAGUUCAACCCUGUCUUACUAUAAUCAGCUCUGCAAAUCUAUGGAAUCAAGGUCCCAUUUCUUUAAGAGGGCUUUGACUGUGAGCCCUUCACAAAUUUGUUUCUCCUUGCACUGUUUGGAUUUCCAUAUGUUGGCAAAUCAUGAGCAAAAGUCAGACCGGAGAACAGGACUCCAUUCUUCGCUUCUCACUAGGGUUCCCACCUGUGCUUUUAAUGGCUCUAGGAGGAAGCCAAAUCAGUCCAAAUCUCAGUUUGUUUAACUUGGCAGCUCCAGCAGGAUAUGCACAAGCUUCCCUUCAAAUAAAUGCAGUUAUUUUAAUCCCCACGUUUACACAGCCAGGGGAGUUUGCAGGUGCUGCGAGGUAUUGAAUUACUCACAUAUGUGUAUUCCACAUGAAAAUGAUCUUCCAAAAAUGCACAUAAAAACCAGUUAGCUUCUUUUUAAACAUGCUUCCCCACAGCAACCAAAAAGUCAGGCUGAUUUCUAUAUUGUCAGUGUAGCACAAGACUGAAGUACUGGAAAUGGACCAAAGAGGAGUGGGGAAUAUUGCUGAACUCUCAUCUGCCCUAGCAAGCAUAGCCAAUGGACAGGGAUGAAGCGUUGUUGUAGUUCAGCAACAGGGAUAAAGAUUCUCUAUGCAUUGGAAUCAUGAAUCCUGAUAUGUAGACUGCAUUGGCCAUUAUGGCAAGUUGUUGUUAACUAUAGAAAUUUCUGGAAAUGGCAAACAGUGUGUAAAGUACAGGGUCUUCAAAGGGUGGGCUAACAAGUUUCCAUGUACUCAGUGCAUGUACUCUUCUAAAAAAAAAAAUUUUUUUUAGCAUUUUCCAAACAACAACACCAACAUGAAAGAUAUCAAAAAAUAACAAUACACAACACAUAAAAAUCAACAUUCGAAAACUAAAGAAAGCAACAACAACAACAACAACAAACAAAAAACAAAUCCAUAUCUUACAAGUUAAUAUUAUAAACACUAAAACAACAACAAGACAUUGGCUUCCACCAAUCCCGCAGCACCUCCUUUAUCUCUCAUUGUGUCUUCCUGUUUUCUUGUUUUCUUUAUCAUCUCUAUCCUAACAUCUAGAUAUAAAUCCUUCUUUCAUAUCCUCAGCGCAUGUACUCAGUGCAUGAGGACAGAUCACUCACACCAUACUCAGUUCCUAGUAGUAAAGACUAGGCUGCCUAAGCUGCCAUCCUAUGGGGAGUAGGGAGGAAGAAGCAGUGCUGGAUAGUGUUCUGCAUUAGAUUGCUGUGAUUGGGUAUUCAUUCCUUUACCAAAGGUGUCAUGGACUUUGAAGACUUUGAAGAACUCAGGACAAAAGGAAGAAACAUGCUAAGAGGAAGGGACAUUUGGCAAACCCUCACCAUGAUAAACUCCCACCCGGAAACCUAUGUCCCAACUGUGGAAGGAUGUGUGGAUCCAGAAUUGGCCUCCACAGUCACUUACGGACUCACUGUUAAGUGUUCAUGGAAGACAAUCUUACUCAGCUACGAGUAAUCGCCAAAGAAGAAGAUUCAUUCUGAAUUGAGAAACAAGGCUGCUCAGAGACAUGCCCUUCAGGACCCUGGACAGAUCCCAGGAAACAGAGGAGUUGCCCAUAUAGAGGCUUGGUGUUAACUUUCUUUGUCUUUGCUGUCUCCCUCUUGCAGCAAGCUCUUGCUGAGGAAUUGACAGCCCAGAACUCUGUUGCCUCUUUGCUAUCCCUUCCCAAGCAUGAAGCCUAGGCCUGAGGAUACUGCCCUUGAUGAUAUAUGACUUGGGAACUGCUAUCUCUCAGAGUUCUGGUUUUGGCAUCUCUCAGAAUGCUUAGCUGAAAUUCACCAUUUUUGCUUUCUCAUGGAUGGACAGUGAAAUCGGGGUGUGAUUUAGAGAUUCUCCAAGGGGGGCUUACCUCUUGGUGAGAGGUCCUUCUUUAGUCUGUCACUGUUUUCUCCCCCAUUGCUCAAAUAUAUUGCCCCAAAGUGGAAUUCUGGGAAAAGAAAAUGGUAACUGCCACCCAGGAGCCACCUGCUGUUGCGAUCACAAAGCAUAGGCAGCUAAGGAGUACAAGCAAUUUUAUUCAUAAACCCCACCGAAGUUAGUUCUAGCUGUGGUUUGGAAGUCUUUGGCUUGGGAAGCCCCUGGUUUCUUACUAGGUCUUGGUUGUAGCUUAGUGGUUAAAUCAUCUGCCUUGCAUGCAGAAGGUCCCAGGUUCAAUCACCGCCAUCUCCAGGUAGGACUGGAAGAGACUCCUGUCUGAAACAUUGGAAAGUCACUGCCAGUCAGUGUAGCAGAUAAUAAUGAGCAAGAUGGACCAAUAAUCUGACUCAGUAUAGGGCAGCUUCCUAUGUUCCUAUGUACAGAAAGUGAAGGAGCUGAUGAGAUUGAGGAAUGAGGCUGAUUCAGGGGGUAAUGGGGACCACAUAAAUUUAAGUUGGUGGCCAUAGGUUUCCCACCUCUGGCUUAGCAUGACAAAACAGAAUUACCAAUACUUUCUUGCUCUAUCCCUGGCUGCUAUCUUUACCUAAGAGCCUUCUCAAUUUCUCUGUAUCUUCUCAGGCACUAAUUUUAAUUAGACUCAUCAAAUCUGUAAUAUCGGGGGUAUAUUUGAUGAGCAUGGGGGUGGGAGGCACAAGAGAUGUUAAGACUCCAAACAUUUUUUCUUAGUGGAGACUCUAAAGUAUUUCAUGCAGAGAAAUAAGCUAUAAACAUCUUUAAAAAUGGAGAUUAUAGUGGUUAUUUCGGGGCAGUUCCAGUUGUGUUGAUGUUUCCAGGCACUCCUGUAAUUAAACAUAUUCUUCAUUCCAGACAGGAACUCUACAUUGGUUUACCAAAGAAGAACAGCAUAAAUUUAAGAUAUCCAAAGCUGAUGAUGUGCCUGCCUACAAAUCAUAGAUACUUAGCAAUUAUCUCAAGCAGUUUCUAGGUGUUAAAAAUGCUCCAAAGAUAUUUUUCAAGACUCUUUUCAACAAUCAUAUCAGAAAGGCUACGAAUGGAUUCUUUCAGUUUCCUAUUUUUCUGAUCUUAAUUUCUCCGCAUUUCCACAGCAGUUUGCAACUUUUUUUUUAAAAAAAAGAAGGCAUCAUGAAAAUCCACCAGCAUGUUUAUUUAUUAAUUAUUAAAUUUGUAUACCGCCUUAUACCUGUAGAUCUCAGGGCAGUUCACAACAUUCAGGAACAUUUUAGUGGGGUUCUCUUAAAAGACAUACAGUGGUACCUCGGGUUACAUACACUUCAGGUUACAUAUGCUUCAGGUUACAGACUCUGCUAACCCAGAAAUAGUACCUCAGGUUAAGAAGUUUGCUUCAGGAUGAGAACAGAAUUCAUGCGGUGGCGGCAGCGGGAGGCCCCAUUAGCUAAAGUGGUGCUUCAGGUUCAGAACAGUUUCAGGUUAAGAACGGACCUCAGGAAUGAAUUAAGUACUUAACCCAAGGUACCACUGUAUUUUUAUAUUUAUUUUUAUAUGUAAGUGGAAAUCAGAAGCAUUACUGCCUCCAACCAUGGAGACAGAGCUUAGCCAUCAUGACCAGUAGCCAUCAAUAGCCUUACCAUCCAUGAAUUUGUCUUCUCCUCUUUUAAAGCCAUCCAAGUUGGUGGUCAUCACUGCCUCCUGAGCUCCAAAGUUUAACUAUGUGGUACAUGAAUAAGUACAUGCCUUUAUCUGUCCUGAAUCUUCCAGGAUUCAGUUUCAGUUUCAUUGGAUGUCCACGAGUUCUAGUGUUAUGAGGGAAGGACCAAACUUUUCUCUAUCCACUUUCUCUAUAUAUAGGUAGGUAGCAGUGUUGGUCUGCCAUUGUCGAACCAAAAUAAAAAAAAUGCCUUCCAGUAGCACCUUAAAGGUAAAGAUAAAGGGACCCCUGACCAUUAGGUCAAGUCAUGGCCAACUCUGGGGUUGCGGCACUCAUCUCGCUUUAUUGGCCGAGGGAACCGGCGUACAGCUUUCGGGUUAUGUGGCCAGCAUGACUAAGUCGCUUCUGGCGAACCAGAGCAGCGCACAGAAAUGCUGUUUACCUUCCCGCCGGAGCGGUACGUAUUUAUCUACUUGCACUGGUGCGCUUUCAAACUGUUAGGUUGGCAGGAGCAGGGACCGAGCAAUGGGAGCUCACCCCGUCGCGGGGAUUCGAACCGCCGGCCUUCUGAUUGGCAAAUCCUAGAGGCUCAGUGGUUUAGACCACAGUGCCACCCGUGUCCCUUAGCCCCUUAGAGACCAACUAAGUUUGUUAUUGGUAUGAGCUUUCGUGUGCAUGCACACUUCUUCAGAUACACUGAAACAGUGGGGAGGGGUAUUACUCAGAAGGGUGGUGGGAAUAGGUGAUUGGCUGAUAGGUGUGGUAAACCAGUUGACGACUGUUAAUGACUUCAAUUGGUCUUACAGGAAAAAGCAAGGGAUGAGAUGGCCAAAAAUAGCUUUAUCAUGUAUAAUUAGAUAAGAAUCCAAUGUCUCUAUUCAGACCAGGUCUCUCCAUUCCCACCACCCUUCUGAGUAAUACCCCUCCCCACCCUCUCACUAUAUAUGAGGGUCUGGUGACUUCUGUGUAUCUGAAGAAGUGUGCAUGCACACAAAAGCUCAUACCAAGAACAAACUUAGUUGGUCUCUAAGGUGCUACUGGAAAGAAUUUUUUUAUUUUGGUUCCACUUUCUCUAUGCCAUGCAUAAUUUUAUAAAUUUCCAUUAUGCCACCACUUACUUACCUUUUCUCUAAACUAAAAAGUCCCAAACCUCACAACCUUUCCUCAUAGUGGAAUCACUCCACCCCCUUUAUUAUCUUGGUUGUCCUUUGCUGAAGCUUUGCAACUCCUUUUUGAGUUGAGAUGACCAACUGUGGUCACAUCAUAGAUUUGUUGUUCCAGAACUGUUGGAACUGCAGUUUUAAGCACACACACACACACACACACACACACACACACCUGAUAGUAAGCCCAGUGUUACAUGCCACCCCAAUCUCCAAGUGGUGUGAGAUCCCAGGGGCCCCAGGCAGUUUCUUUUCUUUGUUAAUGGCUCACCUCCUUGUCUUUGUUCUCUCUUAAUGGCUCAUCUUUCAGGCAAUCUUUGAGCACAGGGAGCUGAGGCCAGCUACUUAGAGCAUGACUUCCAGUUUAACUCUCCAAGCAUUGAUUAAAUUCUAACACUUACUAAAGCCAGGAAUUAUGGGGUUCUUGCACCCACGAACCCUGGCACCCACAAACUCAUAGUACUAUUUUGGAAUGUUGUUUCUGUAAAGAGUGUUCAAGGGUAUCAGUGUGCUCCUAUUGUAUUGCAGUUUAAGUUCUCUAAAUGAUUUCAUUUGACAGAAUUCAGUGGGGGAAGAAGAGUUGUGUCUUUUGUUCAGUGCCCACACACCAGGCAGUCCACUUGGCCUUGACGCCAUUCAGAGAAGGGAACAUUUAAUGCAAUUGCUGGUUAUCAAAGAAAUUGGUCCUGGCAUCCUUUUUGCUCCUCUCCCCUUGCCUGGCUGUUCAUUUUCCUAAUGAAAGCUCCACCAAUUAAUAGUGCCCUUUUCCAAUCUCACUAAGUGAAGAGUUCUUAUCUCCUGCUGCAGGCUGUGAUUGAUUACAGGACUGUAACUCUAUUAUUGUCAAACUGCAGUAAUUAAGAGCUUGGAAUUGUAAGAAGGGUUUCCCCAUCUCAUCUCAUCUCUAUUCAAGUAUUGUUUUUCAAUUCUGGUGCUCAUUCAACUCUUCUUAGGAAAUGAUGGGAAUGUGUGAUCUGAUUCCUAAAACAGCUUGCCAAUGGAAAAUUAGUUUCCUGCUCCCCACCUCUCUCAUCCACACUGCCUUUCAUGCUCACUGCCUUUCAUGCAAGAAGUUUUAUCAUUUAUCUUAUGCUUAUUUCACUCCCCCAACCCAAAAUUCAAUAUAUUGGUGGUACCUAUUACACUAAUUGGAUUCUGAGCUAUGCAAAAAGAUUUGCAUGCAUAUGAAAAUGUAUUCCCAAAUAAAAUUUCCCUUCCAAUUGAAUUUGCUUAUUUGGAUUCAGCCUAGUGCAGAGGCUCCUUGAAGCUACAGGAGCUCCAUGUGUGCAGGAGACUACUGUUGAUGCAAGGACUUUCCAGUGAACCUAGAGGUUCUCAGGACAAGUAAAAAGGACUUUUUACACAGCAUAUAGUUAAACCACAGAAUCGGCUCCUACAAGGUGGAUUGAUGGGCUGACGGCCGUCAACUUUAAAAGGAGUUUAGACAAAUUCAUAAAGCUUUCAGUUCCUAAAGCUGGCUACAAGUAAUGAUGGUGAUAUAUUGUCUCCAGUAUCAGAGGUAGUGCUCUAGUGCUCAUGCCCUGCUUAUGGGCUUCCCACAGGCUUCUGGUUGGCCACUGUGAGAACAGAAUGCUGUGUUAGAUAGCUCUUCUUAUUCUCCUCUGGCCUUAGGAAGUCAUCCAAACCCAAGACCCACCAAGUCAAGCGUGCUAGGACCCAGCAAAUCUCUGGCUCAGUCAGCUGAUUCCCAUUGCAGCCAGGCUACACAAGUGUGAGCCCCACAUCCUGGCUCAAGCUGGCGAUAUGGCAGCACAAUUCCCUCAUCUCAACUCAGCUGGCUGAGCUGAGACUGGCAGAUCUUACACUGCUGUAAGCCCUGAAAAAUAGGCAUUCCAGGGGGUUGACAGGAAUAGGAUCAGGCAGGAUCCUUAUUCUGACUCUUAGCUCAACCAUGUUAAGCAGCAGAAUAUACGCCCGCAAAAAAGGGUGGUGUACUCAGUCUACAGUAGCCCCAUUCCUGAAUGGCAUUUGAAGUAGGGAUAAUCUAUGCUGGCUUAAUUUAAUAAAUUCCACUAGCUUCCUAUAUUUAGAAUUAUUCUGUAGGUCUCCAUUCAUUUGAAAUUAUGUGCAUGAGAUCCAGAAGGAAAAUCAGUGGUGCUCUACAUCAUCAUGCAAUGUCACAAUAUAUCUAGGGUGAAACCUUAUUGGCUACAUAAUAUCACAUGUCAGUGGUACUAAGUCACUGAUGGAAGAACCUGGAGCAUCAGAGAUGAAAAAAGAGGGAAGGAGGGCAAAUCUACCAAAUCAAACUUCUUCUUCUUCUUCUUCUUCUUCUUCUUCUUCUUCUUCUUCUUCUUCUUUAUUUUGAAAGGGGGAAAUGGACAUUUAAAUUUACUACCACAAUGGUCAGUUUAAAUGGGGUUGUUUUUUUCUUUUGCACUACUGCUGACCACUAGUCAUCUUCUGCCUCCACCAUUGGAGGCAAUAUGCCUGUGAAUAUAAUUUCCUUGGAACGACAACUGGAGAGUUUGCUGUUUCACUCAGGUCCUGCUUUUGGACUUCCAGUGGGCAUCAGGCUGGCCACUUUGAGAAAAAGAUCCUGGACUACAUGGGCCAGAUCCAGCAGGGCACGUCUUAUGCUCUUAUGUAGUAUAAUUGUACAUGUAAUUGAAUUUCAUGAAAUUUCAGAGCAGCCUUCUCUAAAUGUGGUCUAGUGCCCAGUCCCCUGUGAACAAGGGAGAUCUGGCAUUGCCUUUCUGCUUCUCAAUUCCUGGCAACCGUCACAUUCCCUAACUGAUGUGCUAUUUUACUUAAUCCCAUAACAAUGCCAGCCUGUCCUCGGAUGCAUUGAGCCUGAAGCAAGCUGAGCUGAUUUGCUCUCUCUUAUCCCUGUUGUAAUGUUCCCUCCUGCAGUCACUCUGCAGGAUUCCACCUUGAUGUUUCUCACAUGCCGCAUAAGACGAAGAGCCCGGUGAUUAUUUCAAAGAGCUAUGAAUAUGCUGCUAUGGCUUCAUCAUAACCAUUACAGAAGAUAAUGACAGAACAGUAAAUAGCAGCUGAUGUAGGCAGAUCUGUGGGAGACGACAAGAGCUGCAGACCUUUUGUUGCCUCUUCACAGCAUCUCUCAUUUCUCACUUGCGUCCAGAAAUGGCAAUUAUUGGAUUUCUCUUUUUUAAAUUUUCUUGUUACCGCAUAUCUAAUCAUCACCACCACCACCACCAUCAUAAAAUCAUAGAAUUGUAGAGUCGAAAGGAACCCCAAGGGUCAUCUAGUCAAACCCCCUGCAAUGCAAGAAUCUCAGCUAAAACAUCCGUGACAGACGGCCUUCCAACCUCUGCUUAAGAACCUCCAAGGAAGGAGAGCCCACCAUCACCCGAGGGAGACUGUUCCACUGUCAAACAGCUCUUAAUGUCAGAAAGUUCUUCCUAUUUGGGGUGAGCAAAACCCGGGAGACAUCAGCCAUACAUUCCAAUCGGGACGCCAUGAUACAGUGUCCAGACUGGACAGCAUUCUACUCACACAGGGUCUGAUCCCCUCAGUGGAAUCAACAAACAUAGGUAACAUUAAAAUCACAGAUCACGCCCCAGUAGAAGUCAUCGUUAAAAUAGGAGAAGGAACACAAACCACCCCAUCAUGGUCCUUCAGUCCCAUCCUAACUACAAACAAACAAAUUAGAGAGAGUCUCACAAAAACCCUCCAAGACUACUUCAAGGAAAACGAUGUAAACAAUAUAACAACCCCCCUCCUAUGGGACGCAAUGAAAGCGGUCACCAGAGGAGCUUGCAUAAAAGAGAAAACAUUCCUUAAAAACAAACCUCCUCAAAAAUUAGCAAAAUAGAACAAGACAUCACAGCCCUCUCAUCACGCUACAAACAAACAGGAUCUAAAAACUCCUCAAACUUAUAGAACAAAAAGGAGAGAACUAGACUCCUAGAAAUUAACAAAACAAUGAUCAACAUUCUAUACUCUAAACAACAUUUCUACGAAUAUGGAGGGGAAAACUCCAGAUUACUAGCAAAUAGAUGUAGGAAAAAAGCACUCAAAACAAGAAUACACUGCAUCACCAAAAGAGACGGCAACAUAACAUUCUCCCCCGAAGAAAUAACCUCAGAAUUUGCAGAAUUCUACUCCAACCUAUACACCUCCCAUAACCCACCAGAGAAGGAAAUCAGAAAAUUUCUAGCAGGACUGUCCAUGCCUACCCUAACUGAUGAGGAACAGGAAUUCAUGGACAGCCCUAUCACCCCAGAGGAAAUAGAUGCGGUCCUCAAAAACCUGAAACCACACAAAGCCCCAGGCCCAGACGGCUUCACAGCAGAAUUCUAUAGGAAAUUCAAAGAACCCUUGAUGCCCUACAUGACCCGCCUAUUCAACGACAUCAUAAAAGGGGGCCCCAUCCCCAAAACCCCCAUCCUCCAAAAUAGUCUCCAUCCCAAAACCACUAAAAGACAGCCUCAAAGUAGAAUCAUACCGCCCAAUCUCAUUAAUAAACCAAGACUACAAGAUAUUCACAUCAAUCUUGGCCAACCGCCUAAAAAUCUUCCUACACAAGUUAAUAGCCCCAGACCAGACUGGCUUUGUCCCUGGCCGCAAUAUAACAGACCCCAUCAGGAAACUACUGAACCUGAUCGAACACAGCAAGGCAACCAAACUCCCAUUGACAAUUAUGUCCCUAGACAUCCUCAAAGCCUUUGAUUGCUUAGAGUGGAAAUACAUAUUAGCAGUACUAACUAACAUGAAAUUUGGCCCCAACUUCCUACAAAUCCUCAAACAAAUAUACUCCCAAGCCUCAGCAAAAUGCAGAACUAACAAUAUGGAUUCUAAUACUAUAGCUAUCCAAAGAGGCACGAAACAAGGAUGCCCACUGUCUCCCUUCUUAUUUAUCCUGGCUCUGGAACCCUUAGCAAUCCGCAUCCGAGCAGCCACAGACAUCAAGGGAGUGGAUAUAAAAGGCAGAACCUAUAAAUUAGGGCUCUUUGCAGAUGACCUAAUGGUCACAACACCAGACCCCAUAAGCACAGCAACCUCCCUAAUCAGAGAACUCAACACAUUUGCAAUGGUGUCGGGCCUACAGGUAAAUUUUACAAAGUCAGAAGCUAUGUGCUUCAACACCCCUCCUCACACCCAAAAAGAACUCACGAAGGUCACCAAAAUAAAACUUUGCCACACCAAGUUCAGAUACCUAGGGGUACAAAUAACCAGAAACCUCAAUAAAUUGUACCUCCACAACUACAAGCCCCUGUGGCGACAAAUUAACAAAGACCUAAAGAGAUGGAAUAACAUGAAUUUCACUCUCUCAGACAAAAUAGCCAUGAUCAAAAUGAUCACACUCCCAAAACUAACCUACCUAUUCCAAACCCUCCCAAUCUGGAUCCCCUCAACCCAACUUCGCAGUUGGCAGAGAAAACUACACUCUUUCAUCUUCUCACAUAAAAAACCAAGAAUAAGCCUCAAAUACCUGAACCUCCCCACCUCAGAAGGAGGAUGGGGAAUCCCCAACAUAGAAGCAUAUUACAAUGCCAACCAAAUACGCCAUAUAAUCCCAUAUAUACUAGAAGAUGAGACAAAACAAUGGGUACACCUAGAGAGGGACACAAUUGAAAAUACCUGCACCACAACAUACCCACUCCUCCCAAACAAACUAAAGAAAAUUCCCACAACACUUAACAGGUACACACAGACCAUGCUCAAAGCAUGGAAAACACAAAUAGGCAAACUAUCCCCAACCCCAUCCCCACUAAUCCCCCUGGCGUACCACCCAUUAUUCUACCAUGCAGCACAAAACCUCCAGAUAAAAACCUGGCAAACCAAAGGCUUAUAUCGCCUAAUAGACUUUUAUAAAAAUAACAAACCCUUGUCAACACAAGAAAUACAAGACAAACUAGAAGACACCCAAAUGCCCUGGUUAACACAACACCAACUACAUGCCCUCUUAAACAACCCAACAGUAAAAUCAGCAGCAACUAGGCCCUUGACAACCUUCGAAAACCUCCUCCUAACAACAAAGGGAAACGGUAAAGGGACGGUAUCCGCAAUAUACAAAAUACUACUCCAAAAUCCCACAAAUCCCCUAGAUGCAAUCAAAAAACAAUGGGAGAAUGACAUAGGCUAUGAGAUUAACCCUACUCAAUGGACCAGAAUGUGGUCUAAACCCCCCUUUAAAUCCAUAUCAAUGAAAAGAAAAGAACUCACACUGAAACUCACCUACAGGUGGUACCUAACACCAAGGAAACUAGCGCUAAUACACCCAGGAACCUCACCAAGAUGCUGGAGAGGUUGCACCUCCACAGGCACAUACCUCCACAUGUGGUGGGAGUGUCCCAAAAUCCAACUAUUCUGGACAACAGCCAUACAAGAAAUAUGUAAAAUAACUAAGCAAGUAAUAGACAUCACCCCAGAAUUGGCCCUACUAAACAUCUUCCAAGACAACAAUGCCCAUUUACACCACAAAGAACUCAUAACCCACCUACUAUCAGCAGCCAGAAACACCAUAACCAGACACUGGAGAGACCUGUCAGGAGUAAACAUGGACCAAUGGUACCAAAUAGUAUGGGAAACAGCCCUACUAGAAAAAUUAACUAAUAAACUGAAACUGACACGGGGACAAACAGAAGAAGACGCCUUCACCCCGCUAUGGCUCCCCUUUAUCACAUACACAGCCCAACAUGACAAUGACAAUAAUCCACCAACAGCAUACAAAUCAAUAUGGCUAACCUGAUCCAAAACACCCACCCACCUCACUCACACACGAAAACAAAGAUCACCACAGCCAAUCACAAGCAAACAAUCACACCCUAGGCCAACCCCAACCUCUCUCACCACCAAAGGAACACAAGUGAACAACACAAGCAACGCUGACACCAAACUCUACAUACAUUAAACAUAAUAGAAACACCGCCACCCGACCCCACCCCCAUCCAUCUUCCCUCUCUCCACCCCCCUUUCUUUUUUCCUUUUUUUCUUCUCCCCCUAAUGCCUCAACAAAUGAAACGGAUUUGUAAAAAUGUUACAUGGGGGAAAAAAAUACGAGGCAUUACACUUACUUCUGUAAAACAAGAAAAUCCUUAAUAAAAUAUUUUAAAAAAGAAAAAAAGAAAAGAAAGUUCUUCCUGAUGUUUAGUUGGAAUCUCCUUUCUUGUAAGUUGAAGUCAGUGAGUGGUUUAGGACCUACCUUUCAGAGCAGGAUAAAACAAGCUUGCUCCAUCUUACACGUGACAGCUGCAUAUACACACACACACACACACACACACACACACAGUGGUACCUCGGGUUAAGUACUUAAUUCAUUCUGGAGGUCCAUUCUUAACCUGAAACUGUCCUUAACCUGAAGCACUACUUUAGCUAAUGGGGGCUCCCGCUGCCACCGCACUGCCGCUGCACGAUUUCUGUUCUCAUCCUGAAGCAAAGUUCUUAACCUGAGGUAAUAUUUCUGGGUUAGCGGAGUCUGUAACCUGAAGCCUCUGUAACCUGAAGCGUAUGUAACCCGAGGUACCACUGUGUGUGUGUAUAAAAUGUAUUUUUAUUAAAUAUUUUCUUGGUUUACAAAAGUAUGUGCAAUGUCUCUCUCUCUCUCACUCUCUCUUUCUCUCUUUUCCCAAGUAACAUUUUUUACAGAUCAGUUUCAUUUGUUGAGACAUUAAGAAGAAAAGGGGGAAAGAGGUGGAAGAGGGGGAGAUAAGUGGGGGUGGGGUCGGGUGGCGAUGUUUCUAUUUUACUUACUAUGUGUGUGGUUUGGUGUCAAUGUUGCUUGUGCAGGUUCUCUGCUAUUCACUUGUGUUCCUUUGGUGGUGAGAGAGGUUAGGGUUGGCCUAGGGUGUGAUUGUUUGUUUGUGAUUGGCUGUGGUGGUCUUUGUUUUCAUGUGUGAGUGGGGUGGGUGGGUGUUUUGGAUCAGGUUAGCCGUAUUGGUUUGUAUGCUGCUGGUGGAUUUUUGUCAUUGUCUUGUUGGGCUGUGUAUGUGAUAUAGGGGAGCCAUAAAGGUGUCUUCUUCUGUUUGUCCCCAUGUCAGUUUCAGUUUAUUGGUUAAUUUUUCUAGUAGGGCUGUUUCCCAUAUUAUUUGGUACCAUUGGUCCAUGCUUACUCCUGACAGGUUUCUCCAGUGUCUGGUUAUGGUGUUUCUGGCUUCUGAAAGUAGGUGGGUUAUGAGUUCUUUAGCUGCUUAGAUAUUUGAAGAUGGUUAUCAUAUCUCCUUUCAGUCUCCUUUUUUCCAGGCUAAACAUAGCCAGCUCCUUCAACUGUUCCUCAUAAGGCUUGGUUUCUUUUCUUCAUAAGGCUUGGUAAUCAUCAUCAUCAUCAUCAUCAUCAUAACCGGAACACAGAAAGCUGCUGCACACUGAGUCAGACCAUUGAUCCAACUAGCUCAGUGUUGUCAACUAGCUGCAGGGUCUCCAGGCUUUCAGGAAGUGGCAUUCCCAACCCUACCUGAGGAUGCUGUGGACCUUCUGCAAAGAAAGAAGAUACUCUCCCAUUGAGUUCUUGCUGUUGUUGUUGUUGCUGCUGCUGCUAUUCUGUAGAGCAGCAACCAACAGUUGCUUCAGAUGCCUUGUGAAGACUUAUCCUUUUGCCCAAGCUUUUCCUGACCCAUAAAAUUGGACCCUAGUUUACAAGUUGGAAUCCUCUUUUCUAGGUAUUGAAAUCCCAAGGAAGCAGAAAAGACUUUUUAUGUACGUAUGUGACCACGGCUGCACGGAUUUUAUUGGCCCAGAGUUGGAAAGAAGAUAAAGUCCCUACCAGAGAAGAAUGGCAGAUGAAGUUGAUGGACUAUGCCAAAAUGACUGGAAGAAUCAGAAAUCAGGAAGACCAAAAGUUUAAUAAAGAAUGGGAAAAAUUUAUAACUUAUCUUAAAGACCAUUAUAAACAGUUAAAAUUGUUAGUGGGAUUGGAAUAUCACUUGUAGUUUAAUGGUGAAUUUUGGAUAUAAUGGAGAUGUAAAAGUUUUGGAUCAUCAUAAAAGAUGCAGGAGGAAAUAAAUAAUAGGACCCAUAAAGGGGAGGAUGAAAGUCCAGGAGAUUCCUUAGAAUCUUGUUUUUAUGAUUUAUGUUUGAUAUAGGAUUGUAAAAUUUCCAUCUGAAAAACCAAAUAAAUAAUUUUAAAAAGUUUUAA